ACAUGAUCACUAAUGCAGAAUUCAACUACUGUUGGCCAGGGAGGUAAAAUUGAACCUGUAAACACAAAGAAAAACCGAUUCAAACAAGAACAGAGUUGUUGACAUUACAUUUUUCGGCAUUUGAUAUUGUCAAGUCAAUCAUCCCAUCUUAAUCUUGAAAAAUAUGCAUAUUUUUCCUUAUACAGAUCAGAUAUAAAUCAAAGAUAGAUGUAAAGAACAGCAUUAAUCAAAAGAUUUCCAUCACCUGAUGACUGGCUUUCUCUGUGCUGCAGCUGUAGCAUGUGCAGCCCUCGGCAGGGGCACAACAAGUUCAGGGGCCUUUAUUAUACAAAGUUGAAAAAAGUUAAGUACUGCGAGUUAUAACAAACCUAGAAAGAUUCGCGUUAUGAUAUUAUUAACACGUAAAAACGCUCAAAAGAGAACAAAUAAAUAACUAGGUACCAAAGGAACUACUUCUUGGCCCCUAAAGAUCAUGUUUCAAAGAUUGACUGAGAUCUGAGACAAUUACGUCUCGUCCGCUCAAAGAUUAAAAGCAAAAAAAAAAAAUAGUUCCUUUGGUUCCACCACCAACUAUUUAAUAGUUUUCAUUUGAACCCAAUGUCUAGAAACAUAUCUACAUAACAAAAUGUUAAAAAUAUGGUACGACGUUACACCUAGAACUUCCAUAAUCACAACAGAAAGAAAGCAUCACGACGUGCUAUUUUGCACACAAUAAUAACAUGUUUGUUAAUCAAUCAAAUUAAUAGAAGGGUGCAUGUGUGUUAAAAAUGUGACCAGUGAAACAACAAAGAGAUCCAGAAGAUUAACACCAAAUCUCGUAGUGAAGUAAACAGAAGAAAUUAACUAAAAACGAACCUCAAGUUCUUCUAAGCUCUCAUUCACAGAAGUUCCACCUAAAUUCUUAUCUUGAAAACUAUCAAGUUCUUCAAGUUGCUGAGGGGAACUCUGAUAGGAUUCACACAGACCAGAAUCAGUGGCCAGCUUCUCGGUUUCUCCAGAAACUAAUUGACCAUUGAUGAUAUCGUCAUUGUUUUCAGUUUUAACCCCUGCUUGAUCAUUGACAUUAGUACCCUCAGUAGGCAAACCUACAUCAGUGGAUAAGCGCUUGGGAGCGGGCAACUCUUGGUAAUCCUCCUGUUGGCGUUUCCUUGUAUCAUCAUCAUCAGGUCCAGGUCCAGGUCCAGGUGCAGGUCUGUCAACAACAUUAAUAUCUGCAUCCAGACUGCUCGCAGCACUUGUGUCUGGGACAUUCCGCCUUUCCUCUACACUGGCUCUGGCAGGGCGUGCAGGUCGAACACCACCAGGAAAAACAAAAGCGGGAAUGUCCCUACGCCUGAUAUGAGUUACGCUUAUGCCCAUUCCGGGUUUCCAUGCUGUAUAUGAACCAACGUUACCUUUAAACUCAUCGACUGUCGACCGUAUAUCAAAUUUCUUGGCAUCAUUCACAGAAACACCCUCUUUUCGUUGAAGACCUAAGAAGUAACUGCAGUGAAAUGGGUUUGACUUGUCUGGAAAGUCACCUGGAUGUGGGUGGCACAGCAGCAAUUUAAAUGUGAUAAGCUGGGGUAA
This 1569-nucleotide long non-coding RNA is filed under the name Helianthus annuus (common sunflower). Its description in RNAcentral is "hypothetical non coding rna". The record is from RNAcentral. Lineage: Eukaryota; Viridiplantae; Streptophyta; Magnoliopsida; Asterales; Asteraceae.